RNAcentral lists this long non-coding RNA (461 nucleotides) under Phasianus colchicus (ring-necked pheasant). RNAcentral describes it as "lncRNA (ENSPCLG00000003736.1)". Lineage: Eukaryota; Metazoa; Chordata; Aves; Galliformes; Phasianidae. The record is from RNAcentral.
GUGAGAACUUACAUCAGUUACAAAAUCCUAUUUUUGAUUUGUUAACAUCUUUCUGUUUUCUUGAGGAAAGUAAUGUUGUCUAAUUUUCUUUGACUACAGCUUGGAGACACUGCAGAGUUUUGCCAAGCGUGAACUGCCAGGAAGCUCAAUACUCUGCGAUGUAAAACAGAUGGGAUUAGGGAUGUUGUGGAGUCAUAUGGAUCUUCAGCUGUACCUUCUGUAGGGCUGAGACUGCUGAAACCCUUGUAAAAGUGCUGCACACCACUGAACCUGCCCAGCAGCUCAUCAUCCAUUUGAAGGCCAAAUUCUUUGGCGAAGGGAGUGCCUCUGAAUGGACUUCUUGGCUACUUCUUGUGACAGGAUCAAGAUCUACAUGAAGAUAGAAAAUCUGUCUUUGCUCAUGGUGAAAAGAUCCACAAUACAAAUAUGAGUGUUCCAAAUUGUAGCAAACCUCUAUCCCC